This 1036-nucleotide ribosomal RNA is filed under the name Francisella endosymbiont of Dermacentor variabilis. Its description in RNAcentral is "bacterial SSU rRNA". It matches the Rfam family "Bacterial small subunit ribosomal RNA", at positions 194 to 1216 of the family's 1533-position model. Lineage: Bacteria; Pseudomonadati; Pseudomonadota; Gammaproteobacteria; Thiotrichales; Francisellaceae. The record is from RNAcentral.
CUGUGGAUUAAAGGUGGCUUUUGGGCUGUCGCAGAUGGAUGAGCCUGCGUUGGAUUAGCUAGUUGGUGAGGUAAGGGCCUACCAAGGCUACGAUCCAUAGCUGAUUUGAGAGGAUGAUCAGCCACAUUGGGACUGAGACACGGCCCAAACUCCUACGGGAGGCAGCAGUGAGGAAUAUUGGACAAUGGGGGCAACCCUGAUCCAGCAAUGCCAUGUGUGUGAAGAAGGCCUUAGGGUUGUAAAGCACUUUAGUUGGGGAAGAAAGCUUUGAGGUUAAUAGCCUUGAGGAAAAGGACGUUACCCAAAGAAUAAGCACCGGCUAACUCCGUGCCAGCAGCCGCGGUAAUACGGGGGGUGCAAGCGUUAAUCGGAAUUACUGGGCGUAAAGGGUCUGUAGGUGGUUUGUUAAGUCAGAUGUGAAAGCCUAGGGCUCAACCUUGGAACUGCAUUUGAUACUGGUAAACUAGAGUACGGUAGAGGAAUGGGGAAUUUCUGGUGUAGCGGUGAAAUGCGUAGAGAUCAGAAGGAACACCAAUGGCGAAGGCAACAUUCUGGACCGAUACUGACACUGAGGGACGAAAGCGUGGGGAUCAAACAGGAUUAGAUACCCUGGUAGUCCACGCUGUAAACGAUGAGUACUAGCUGUUGGAGUCGGUGUAAAGGCUCUAGUGGCGCAGCUAACGCGAUAAGUACUCCGCCUGGGGACUACGGCCGCAAGGCUAAAACUCAAAGGAAUUGACGGGGACCCGCACAAGCGGUGGAGCAUGUGGUUUAAUUCGAUGCAACGCGAAGAACCUUACCUGGUCUUGACAUCCUGCGAUCUUUCUAGAGAUAGAUUGGUGCCUUCGGGAACGCAGUGACAGGUGCUGCACGGCUGUCGUCAGCUCGUGUUGUGAAAUGUUGGGUUAAGUCCCGCAACGAGCGCAACCCCUAUUGAUAGUUACCAUCAUUAAGUUGGGUACUCUAUUGAGACUGCCGCUGACAAGCGGAGGAAGGUGGGGACGACGUCAGUCAUCAUGGCCUUACGACCAGGCUA